RNAcentral lists this transfer RNA (87 nucleotides) under Colletotrichum phormii. RNAcentral describes it as "tRNA-Glu". It matches the Rfam family "tRNA". From Rfam's summary of the family: Transfer RNA (tRNA) molecules are approximately 80 nucleotides in length. Their secondary structure includes four short double-helical elements and three loops (D, anti-codon, and T loops). The record is from RNAcentral. Lineage: Eukaryota; Fungi; Ascomycota; Sordariomycetes; Glomerellales; Glomerellaceae.
UCCGAUAUGGUGUAGUGGCCAACAUGAUGCCCUCUCAUCUCCUCGAGAGAUUAGGCAUAGCCCCGAGUUCGAUUCUCGGUUUCGGAA